CCUACGGGAGGCAGCAGUGAGGAAUAUUGGUCAAUGGACGAGAGUCUGAACCAGCCAAGUAGCGUGAAGGAUGAAUGCCCUAUGGGUUGUAAACUUCUUUUAUAUGGGAAUAAAAUGUUCCACGUGUGGGAUUUUGUAUGUACCAUAUGAAUAAGGAUCGGCUAACUCAGUGCCAGCAGCCGCGGUAAUACGGAGGAUCCGAGCGUUAUCCGGAUUUAGUGGGUUUAAAGGGAGCGUAGGUGGAUGGUUAAGUCAGUUGUGAAAGUUUGCGGCUCAACCGUAAAAUUGCAGUUGAAACUGGCAGUCUUGAGUACAGUAGAGGUGAGCGGAAUUCGUGGUGUAGCGGUGAAAUGCUUAGAUAUCACGAAGAACUCCGAUUGCGAAGGCAGCUCACUGGACUGCAACUGACACUGAGGCUCGAAAGUGUGGGUAUCAAACAGGAUUAGAUACCCCUGUAGUC
RNAcentral lists this ribosomal RNA (460 nucleotides) under uncultured bacterium. RNAcentral describes it as "partial 16S ribosomal RNA". It matches the Rfam family "Bacterial small subunit ribosomal RNA", at positions 338 to 795 of the family's 1533-position model. The record is from RNAcentral.